AAGACUGAAUCGAGGCAAACAUUACAUUGCUCUAAUAUUCAAUUAAGAUGAAGGCCAUCUCUUCACUUCUAUUCAUUGUACUUGUUCUUUCCAUUGGAAUUGAAAAUGGCGGGCCAUUGAAAGGGACAUAUGCAAAGCUUUGUGACAUAAAACUCUAUGAUUAUUGUGAUGACACUUGUACCCCUGAUUGCCUGAAAAAAUAUGGAAAGAAAGUAACAGCUUUGUGCAAUGAAUCGGGUUCGUGCAUAUGUCGUUACCAAUGUUGAGUGUUUCUCCUUCUUCUCCAAUGUUGUUCUUAUGAAUGCUAGAUUAUGUAACGACGACGGCGAAUUCAAAGAAAAUAAAAUUACUUCUAUUUAUCA
Cajanus cajan (pigeon pea) is the source of this 362-nucleotide non-coding RNA. The record is from RefSeq and is a predicted model, not a curated record. Lineage: Eukaryota; Viridiplantae; Streptophyta; Magnoliopsida; Fabales; Fabaceae.